Anopheles coluzzii is the source of this 925-nucleotide long non-coding RNA. RefSeq lists it as uncharacterized. Lineage: Eukaryota; Metazoa; Arthropoda; Insecta; Diptera; Culicidae. The record is from RefSeq and is a predicted model, not a curated record. The transcript has 3 exons.
UCAAACACUUCGUCCACCUUUGUACAUAUGCUUUUCGUUGUGUUGGUGACAAUUUACGGUCAUCAUAUACCGAUGUGUGUAUGUUUCGCACGUUGUGUUAUGCCGUCUCUUUCGCGCUUGUGAACGUAUGGAAAAUAUCUCCAAUGAUCACCCAUCCCACGCCCUCAUGCACGUAUAUGCAGAUCAACGAAAUGCAGCUAAGCAACCGAUCGGGGAAGAACCAUGGCCAAUAUAUUCCAAUCUACAUAGGCGUGACGCACAGAUAAGUGAACGCACUUUUGAAGUCGUACAAUUCACCUAUCUUGGGUCAAAGGACAGCAACGACAAUAGCAUAGAAGCUGAGUUGCGCGGAAGGAUGCUGGCUGCCAACCGGUCAUUCUAUAGCCUGAAAAAUGAAGCUGGAACUAUAUAGUACAUAUAUAGUACCGGCAAUCACUUAGCACCGGUACGCCUCUGAGACAUGGACACUGUCCAAAUCUGAAGAAACCCUCUUAGCCGCGUUCGAGAGGAAGAAACUCAGAAGGAUACUUGGCCCUUUAUAUGUGGAAGGACAAUGGAGGAGCCGCUAUAAUGACGAGCUAUACGAGAUGUACGGCGACCUCACUGUCGUGCAGCGUAUCAAGCUCGCCAGACGUCGGUGGGCUGGCCAUGUUGUAUGCAUGGAAACGGACGAUCCAGCCCGUAAAGUCUUUUUAGGCCGGAUGAGGUCUAAAAAGAGUCUCUGUUUCACAAGAACAGAGGAGGCGUGGUAGGCCCAAACUGAGGUGGCAAGAUGGCGUGGAGGCGUCCACCAUUAAGGCCGGGAUAACGGACUGGCAGACGAAGGCGCGAGACUGUGAGCGGUUUCGGACACUCCUGAGGCAUGCCAAGACCGCAAAGUGGUUGUAGCGCCGGAUAAGUAAGUAAGUAAGUGAGUAGCUAAAAG